UUCUGCAGCGUCAUGCGGUGGUGCAGGUU
RNAcentral lists this small RNA (29 nucleotides) under Bombyx mori (domestic silkworm). Its description in RNAcentral is "ovarian small RNA-37522". The record is from RNAcentral. Lineage: Eukaryota; Metazoa; Arthropoda; Insecta; Lepidoptera; Bombycidae.